Drosophila pseudoobscura is the source of this 739-nucleotide long non-coding RNA. RefSeq lists it as uncharacterized. The transcript is spliced from 3 exons. Lineage: Eukaryota; Metazoa; Arthropoda; Insecta; Diptera; Drosophilidae. The record is from RefSeq and is a predicted model, not a curated record.
UAUGGCCUUAACUUAUAUCGCUUAUAGUGUAACUGAGCACAGUUAAACUUCAAGCAACAAACAAUCAAAUGGCAGCAGUUUGGAGAAUCGUUUCGCCAACUUCGGUCUUGGAUAUCGAAAAUCCCAAAAAUGAGUACCGGGUAUAAAAACUGGGAUAAGUAUGUAGAAAUAGUAGGCUGUGGAAUCGAACAAAACUUAGAAAAAAUCCGAACAGGGAAAAUAUUCUCGGAAAUAUUCAUUCAGUCCCCAGGUCUCGGCUGGGGAACAUCAAAAUUUUGAGGUGAUUUUUUUUAGUAAGCUAAAGUUAUAUCAAGCAAACAAAAUAAAACAAAAAAACUUUCCGCACUCUUACUGGAUAUAGCCGUAAAUCCAUAUCCACAUCCACAGGUUUGUUGUUUUUUGAUUUUGGUAUAACGCAGAAUAAAGAAGACACAGAAAAGGAAAGGUAGCUGCUGCUGGAGCUUUGCUGGUUACACACAAUUGUUAAACAUUCAUUUCAAAUCCCUCUGGAACUGGAACUGGAAUCGGGUUAUUGCAUCCUGGCUAAUAGCACUCAAUAAAUACACUAAAUAGAAGCAGCCAUUAUCUGGAAAAAAAGGCUCUGCUCUUGAUGGUACUGACAUUCGCCGCUUUGGAGGUGGGCUCGAAUGUUCGUGGAUCGCAUCAAUACGAUUAUUAAUGGAAUUUAAAGGCUUUUAUGGUUAAUAGUUAAAAUCAUUAAAAAGUUCUUUACCCAUUU